UCUCAGUUCGGAUUGGAGUCUGCAACCCGACUCCAUGAAGCUGGAUUCGCUAGUAAUCGCGCAUCAGCCACGGCGCGGUGAAUACGUUCCCGGGCCUUGUACACACCGCCCGUCAAGCCAUGGAAGCCGGGAGUGCCUGAAGUGCGUGAGCGCAAGCAGCGCCCCAAGGUAAAACCGGUGACUGGGGCUAAGUCGUAACAAGGUAAC
Molecule: ribosomal RNA, 207 nt
Filed under: uncultured bacterium
Lineage: Bacteria
Description: partial 16S ribosomal RNA
Rfam family: Bacterial small subunit ribosomal RNA
Source: RNAcentral